GCCGGGCGUGGUGGUGUGUGCCUGUAAUCCCAGCUACUCGGGAGGCUGAGGCAGGAGAAUUGCUUGAACUCAGGGGACAGAGAUUGCAGUGAGCCAAGAUCACGCCACUGCACUCCAGCCUGGGCGACAGAGCAAGACUCUGCCUCAA
Molecule: small RNA, 148 nt
Filed under: Pongo abelii (Sumatran orangutan)
Lineage: Eukaryota; Metazoa; Chordata; Mammalia; Primates; Hominidae
Description: Metazoan signal recognition particle RNA (ENSPPYG00000032095.1)
Source: Rfam by way of RNAcentral